Molecule: ribosomal RNA, 569 nt
Filed under: Streptomyces thermogriseus
Lineage: Bacteria; Bacillati; Actinomycetota; Actinomycetes; Kitasatosporales; Streptomycetaceae
Description: bacterial SSU rRNA
Rfam family: Bacterial small subunit ribosomal RNA
Source: RNAcentral
AAGCAUAAAACUCAAAGGAAUUGACGGAAACCGCACAAGCGGCGGAGCAUGAGGAUAAUUAGACGAACGCGAAGAACCUUACCAAGGCUUGACAUACACCGGAAACAUCCAGAGAUGGGUGCCCCCUAGUUGUCGGUGUACAGGUGGUGCAAGGCUGUCGUCAGCUCGUGUCGUGAGAUGUUGGGUUAAGUCCCGCAACGAGCGCAACCCUUGUCCCGUGUUGCCAGCAGGCCCUUGUGGUGCUGGGGACUCACGGGAGACCGCCGGGGUCAACUCGGAGGAAGGUGGGGACGACGUCAAGUCAUCAUGCCCCUUAUGUCUUGGGCUGCACACGUGCUACAAUGGCCGGUACAAAGAGCUGCGAUGCCGUGAGGCGGAGCGAAUCUCAAAAAGCCGGUCUCAGUUCGGAUUGGGGUCUGCAACUCGACCCCAUGAAGUCGGAGUCGCUAGUAAUCGCAGAUCAGCAUUGCUGCGGUGAAUACGUUCCCGGGCCUUGUACACACCGCCCGUCACGUCACGAAAGUCGGUAACACCCGAAGCCGGUGGCCCAACCCCCUUGUGGGGAGGGA